Molecule: ribosomal RNA, 111 nt
Filed under: uncultured eukaryote
Lineage: Eukaryota
Description: partial small subunit ribosomal RNA
Rfam family: Bacterial small subunit ribosomal RNA
Source: RNAcentral
CACCCGAAACUGAUUUAGCUAACUGUAAAGAGAGGCGAUCAGUGAAGGUGAAGAGGGUGAUUGGGGUGAAGUCGUAACAAGGUAGCAGUAGGUGAACCUGCAGAAGGAUCA